This 162-nucleotide ribosomal RNA is filed under the name uncultured Thauera sp. RNAcentral describes it as "partial 16S ribosomal RNA". It matches the Rfam family "Bacterial small subunit ribosomal RNA", at positions 1222 to 1382 of the family's 1533-position model. The record is from RNAcentral. Lineage: Bacteria; Pseudomonadati; Pseudomonadota; Betaproteobacteria; Rhodocyclales; Zoogloeaceae.
GUCAUACAAUGGUCGGUACAGAGGGUUGCCAAGCCGCGAGGUGGAGCCAAUCCCUUAAAAGCCGAUCGUAGUCCGGAUCGUAGUCUGCAACUCGACUACGUGAAGUCGGAAUCGCUAGUAAUCGCAGAUCAGCAUGCUGCGGUGAAUACGUUCCCGGGUCUU